RNAcentral lists this transfer RNA (76 nucleotides) under Synechococcus sp. RNAcentral's name for it is "tRNA-Arg". It matches the Rfam family "tRNA". Rfam says of the family: Transfer RNA (tRNA) molecules are approximately 80 nucleotides in length. Their secondary structure includes four short double-helical elements and three loops (D, anti-codon, and T loops). Lineage: Bacteria; Bacillati; Cyanobacteriota; Cyanophyceae; Synechococcales; Synechococcaceae. RNAcentral also lists the same sequence under 7 other names. The record is from RNAcentral.
GCCUUGCUAGCUCAAUGGAUAGAGCACCGACCUUCUAAGUCGAUGGUUGCAGGUUCGAGUCCUGCGCAAGGCGCUA